GACUGCAAAUGUAACACCAAUUUUCAAAAAGGGACCCGGAGGCGAUCCGGGAAAUUACAGGCCGGUUAGCCUAACGUCCGUUCCAGGCAAAUUGAUGGAAAGCAUCCUCAAGGAUAAAAUUGUAAAGCACCUAGAAGAACAGGCCCUGCUGGGAAUGAGCCAGCAUGGCUUCCACAAAGGAUCUUGAGAAUAAAAACGAAAUGGAGGCACCAUUGAUCUCAAUAAACAGGACUUCUCAGCCAUGUACUCCUAGGUGGGUCUUUUAAAAACAAAAUAUUGGAAGGCCACAGUCUGAGGGGAAGACGCUUUCUGCUCCUGCAUGUACUAGGUAAACAGGGCAAACACCUGGCAGAAAAGAAAUGUCUUCCAUAAGGUUUCAGAGGCUGAAAGGGAGGAGCCAACCCAAAUCUGGGGGAAAGAGAAUUCCAAAGUGAAGGGGCAGCAACGGAGAAAGCCCUUCUACGGGCCCUAGUACUAUGGACCUCUCUGAGACCAGUGACCAUAAGAAGGGCAACCUGAGAAGAUCUCACAGGAUGGGACAGGACUGACCGGGACAGGCAUUCCUAAAGAGAUUGCCUAUUUGAUAGACGGUUCUACAAGCUCAUUGUUGAUAAUGUCAAUACCAUGAAGAAAAUUCAGGCCAGUUACAACGUGUGGUACAAAACUGUCUACAAUUGUAAGUGUAGGCGUUUCAAGCUCUGUUCUUAUCUCAUUUGAAAUUGAAAUAUGUUUGCAGUGCUUGAAUGUGGGAAGAUUAAUUAUCACCUCUGUUUCAAAAUAAAAAGCAGUAGAAACCCAUCACAGGUUUUUUGAGGGUUUUUUUUAAGAGUCACAUUGUCAACAGCUAACCAUAGAGGCUUUUCAACAAGAAGAUAAUAGGAAAUAAAAGAAAAGUCUUUUUUUAAAAAGAAAGAAAGAAAGAAAGAAAGAAAUGAAACAAACACAUCCUUCUCUCUAAACAGCAAUGAAGGAAACCUGCUCCUGAAACUGAUGGAGAUUUCCAGCAACACCAGAUUUGAAAUAAAAUUGAUGCCUGAAGUAGAGUUCAAAACAGCCAGAAAUCUUCCUAAGCAAACCAAAUAAUUCAGAAGGCUAUGAGACCACUUGGGUAUAAGAGCAAUCACAAGUGCAUAAGACCAUUCAAACUCAGUUAAGACAAGAUGUAUUUUAGAUAUUUUAGUUUUAUUCAACUACAGGCAGUCAGAUCUAUAACACACUGCCCACAAUAUGUACAAUAAUCAGAAAAGUCACUGUAUUAAGAUCUCUAUAUUUACCUUUUUAAAAAGCUGAACUAUGUGGAGAUAUGCAAGCCAAAAUUUGAAUUGCACCCUGCAGGAGUUAGAUUACCACUCCUUGCAUUUAAACCACUGAAUAUUGACCAUGAGGUCACUAUGUGUCUGGAUAACAAGACUUUUCAUCCACUAUUUUUAUUCAAAAUUACACUUUUAAAAUAGCUGACAUCCAGACUAAGACUAUGUCAGUGCACCAGCAUUUUCUAUCGUGCAACAAGAGAGGAGUGAUUUCUGGUGUUCUUCUCUUUCCUCUGCAGCCACCUGGGUCUCUGAAAUUAUGUCUCUGAGGAUGCUGCAUAGUUUUAGGAGGCACAGGUAGCCUCCUAAAACUACAUUGGGACAUUGAAGAUAAUAAAAAAAGUGCCCCUCGCCCACUGUACAUCAGAAAAUGCUGGCCCAUCAGUGCAGCAUUAGCCUGGAUGUCAUCCAGUGCAAGUUAGGGUUGGAACUAAAAAUUUUCCAAAGUGAAAUUUGAAAGCGAAUUUCAUGGUUCCUCAAGGAAAAACUGAAAAGUGAAGAGGAACACUCAUCUUAUUUUCUUAGAUGGCUUUUUCAAAUAUCUAAAAUGGGACCCAAGAGUGAUGAGCAAGCUGUCUCAUUGAUUUCAGUGGUGGGGUAUGCAUGGAACUGUUACUGGCAGUUUGGUUUGAAUUAGAACCAAACUGCCGGUCUGCAAACCAGUUUGUUAUAACCAGCCAGAGGUUUGGUUCAUGUAGUCAAACCAUAUCAAACCGGUUCAGCCCAGUUUGACCUGGUCUGAGGGUCUAUGCUUAUACAAGGAAAUCUGGUGAAUAAAGGUGACUCCUACCUCUAAAGGAGUUCAAAGGGCAGGUGGAGUGUGGGGGAGAGGGCACCUGACUAGUGGCAGCACAACAGCGGCUCCUCGACAGCAGCCCCUCUAGGCCACACUGGUGCUCCCCCCAUCAAUGUAGGCCAGUGGGGCCUAGAGGGGGCACCACUGCUGAGAAGCCACCAUGCCACUGCCGGUAAGGUGCCCUUUCAUUUGUCCCCUGCCUGCCCUUUGAACCACAAUAGAGGUAGGAAUCCCCUUUGCUUGAAUACCCCACCAGAUUCCCCUUUACAAGCAAAGCCCCUCAGACUGGGUCAAACCAGUUCUCUUUAAACUCAGACCGGCCCCUUGAGGGGGGCUUGGCCAGUUUGAACUCAAACUGAUCGAACUGGGCUGGUUCAAAUCGAACCUGGUUCAGUUUGAGCAGGUUCUGCACACUUUAUUCAAUGGUGCUUAGUCAUAACUAACUUUCUUUGGAUAUACCCCGAUAUGUUUAAGAGAACUACUUGUUUUACAGUUUUGACUGUCAAAUGGGUGAGUUUCAAGAUAAUUUGCAAUUUUUAAUCUCUGUGCUUGAUUUAUGCAUAUUUCCUUAUUGUUUUUCCUGAAUACAUUUUGCAUAUUUUCGAUA
Long non-coding RNA from Hemicordylus capensis (graceful crag lizard), 2713 nucleotides. RefSeq lists it as uncharacterized. The transcript is spliced from 6 exons. NCBI's taxonomy places the organism in Eukaryota, Metazoa, Chordata, Lepidosauria, Squamata, Cordylidae. The record is from RefSeq and is a predicted model, not a curated record.